Podarcis lilfordi (Lilford's wall lizard) is the source of this 76-nucleotide non-coding RNA. The record is from the annotation of a GenBank genome assembly. NCBI's taxonomy places the organism in Eukaryota, Metazoa, Chordata, Lepidosauria, Squamata, Lacertidae.
ACCUCUGGAAUAGUUCAGUCAGUAGAGCAUGAGAUUCUUAAUCUCAGGGUUGUGGGUUUGAGCUCCACGUUAGGCA